GCAGUCGUGGCCGAGUGGUUAAGGCGAUGGACUGGAAAUCCACUGGGGUCUCACCGCACAGGUUCAAAUCAGCUUCAAAUCCUGUCGACUGCG
Molecule: transfer RNA, 93 nt
Filed under: Ixodes scapularis (black-legged tick)
Lineage: Eukaryota; Metazoa; Arthropoda; Arachnida; Ixodida; Ixodidae
Rfam family: tRNA
About the family: Transfer RNA (tRNA) molecules are approximately 80 nucleotides in length. Their secondary structure includes four short double-helical elements and three loops (D, anti-codon, and T loops).
Source: Rfam by way of RNAcentral